This is a long non-coding RNA of Ornithodoros turicata, 625 nucleotides long. RefSeq lists it as uncharacterized. The record is from RefSeq and is a predicted model, not a curated record. Lineage: Eukaryota; Metazoa; Arthropoda; Arachnida; Ixodida; Argasidae. The transcript is spliced from 2 exons.
UACGUCUGCUGCUUCUGCUUCUGCGCAGAGCACAGCCGGUCACGUCACACAGCUGCCCUGAUUCAAAAGGCCGGGAUGCAGAUAACAUAACAGCAACUUUAUUUUAUUAAGAUAACUAGAACUUGGUUGUCCUACUUUUCGUUCUGGUGUUCUGGUACUCAGUGCAUAAAUAUGGCGCGCAACGUUGGACGUCUUUCGGUUAAGUAGACCGCGAUCUUUCUCUGCGACAUGCAAGAGAAGUUCCAACACACUGUCAGGUAUUUCGCAGAGAUUGUCAGCGUUUCGCAGAGGCUGUUAAGGUUGGGAAAAACCCUUGGCAUGCCGGGUAUAGUGAUGGAACAAUACCCAGGAGGUCUCGGAUGUACCGUACCUGAAUUAGGACUCGGUGACUACCCUGAGUUGAAGCCCAUAGCAAAAAAGCAGUGGUCAAUGGUCACAGAAGAGGUUUCCCGGCUACUCGACAACCAUAACCUAGACUUUGUUGUUCUUUGCGGUAUUGCGGCUCGUACCUGUAUUCAAGGCACAGCUCUCACGCUCAUAGAGCAAGGAUUCAACGUACACGUAGUGUUAAUACUAUGUAUUCUCUCAUGUGAUAUACCUGUACCUUAUAAAUAUUUUUGUGAAA